This 2058-nucleotide unclassified non-coding RNA is filed under the name Penaeus chinensis. Its description in RNAcentral is "uncharacterized LOC125031834, transcript variant X1". Lineage: Eukaryota; Metazoa; Arthropoda; Malacostraca; Decapoda; Penaeidae. The record is from RNAcentral.
CUCCGCUGCCGCAAGAAGCGCCUCGAGCGGAGAGCGACGGAGCGCAGAUGUCUUCCGCCCGUGGCGCAAAUUUCAAAUAAUCUCCCGGAAAGAUAGUGACUCGAAUUUCAAAAUAGAUAAAAAUUGUCAUAUUUUAUCAGCACAGGCGUAACAACGUGCAGUGUUUCCCUGUCGAGAAUAUAUAUUUCUAUUCUUGGUCAACUCUGGAGGAAAACAAAGGUCGCCCUCGACGUGCGCCGCCGACAUCUCUUCAGGGAAACGGCAAAUGCCAUCGGCCAGUGGCGAGAGAAAUUCUCAUAUCUCUUGACACAGAAAUUAAAGGUGAUGCGAAGACCGCCAGAGGAUUAAAGAGCUAUUCCUUCCUGAAAGAGUUAGAGCAUGAGAAGACAGCAAAGUCAGUGACUCGGAAAGCUGGAGUGUCCCGCCGGAGCCGCGCAGGUCAUGCAAGCCUCCCCUUCGGCCCUCCCGCCAGCCCUCGUUUCAUCCACUCCUGGGAAUCCAUUGCCGUAUGAACCCAAAACCUUCAAAGCCCAGGCUUCACCUCCAGAGCCCAGCCUGAUUGCCAUAUUUCCCUACUGGGGCUACAUCCCCAGACUCCAGCUCAAUUGCCGUGGACUUACUCUCUGCACGGCAUAUGUGGCCUCGGCAGUUUAUUACUUGUAUCAGUAGUAUUGCUUCUUGGGGUCCUGUUCUGAACAUUAACAGACUGCUUAGAGAAAAGCCGUGGUCUCCACACUCUGCGCUCUGGUGCAAGUACACCUCCAUGAGGGAAGGCAUAUUUGGCAAGAUGUUAUUUGGGGAUGGAGUGCAGCAUGAAUAUGUAAAGAUGAGGAGAGGCAGGAGGAAAGCAGUAGUAGGAGGAACAGUGUCAGCAAUAACAAGAGAAAUAGAUAAACCUGGAAGAAGAACAAGAAGUCAGUCACUGAAGGAGAACCAGGAAAUUGAGAUUCUUCCAGUAGAUUCUGAAACAUGUGACAGAAGAUCUUCAUCAAAUAUACCCCGGAAGAAUGAAGCGAGUACAGCAUUCACUAGAGAAGGAUCACAUGAUUCUGCUAUCUCCUCAAACAGCUCAAAGUGGUCUGUUUCUAGCAGUAUCUCCAUAAUGAGCUGUGGAUCAACAAGAACUUUGUCCAAGAAAAAGGCAUCAAUUUUGAAUGUUGUGGAAGAGGAGCAUAGCAUCAGAGCAAAUGGGGAAAUAGGUGAUGCUACUCUCACCUGGGUGAACAACAUAUCUCCGGAGCGAAUCAGAUCAGCAAUGCCAGUUGUUCGAACUGGAACAGUGACAAAUGGCCAUAUUGUCAGACAGUCUGUUAGUCGCUCAAUCGAUGGCUCAGAGACUGAUAGUGGUUGUGACACAAAGAUGGCAGAUGAUGUUCUCUUCAGUCAUUAUGGAUUGGAAGUAUUAAUUCAUCUUAGUACAAUUUUAAUCAUAGCAUCCUCAGUAUCUACAGAAAUGUAUCUGAGAUCAGCCCCAAAAGAAGAAAGUACAUUAACUAACAAGAACCCAUUACUGUUGCAAGUAGUGGUCUACCUUAUCAUUGGAAUUAUAUCUGACCUGAUGUCACCUACAGCAGCUCUACUUUCAACUCAUUUAACUGCUGUAGGAAUAUCCCUGCUAAACUAUUUGAAACCAAGCCAUGUCUCGAUAUCAUACCUGCCUUUUUUAAACUCAGGAUAUUUAGGAUCUCAAAUGAUAGCAGCAUCCUUCAGACAGGGUUUUGGUCUGGAGGGCAUGCUGGCAAGGGUUGGACUGGUGUAUGGUUUAGCCAGUUUUGUAUGUCCCCAAAUCAUAGCCAUUGCCACUGAGUAUCUAGGACCAAAGACCUUCAUCGAGAACUGACGUUGGAUGGCUUCAUUUCCUUGGAUUUCUAUUAAUGAAAGUUUUCCUUACCAUUCCACUGGCCCUUCUGCUUCCUCUCUUUCAAGGAAUGAUUCAAGAGGGCAGUUUUAUUGAGGGAGUCAGCUUAUCCAUGAUAGUAACAGUGGGACUCCUGUGUAUACAAGCUUUGGUGACUCCUGUGCUUUUGUUCUUCACAUCUCCAGCAACUGUCACUAUCA